ACACGUAUGAAAGACAAGCUGAUAGACUUUUCUCAAUAAUGUAAGUGGUGGUGCAUGGCCGUUCUUAGUUCGUGGAGUGGUUUGUCUGGUCUAUUCCGAUAACGAGCGAGACCCCAGCGUUCUAACUAGGGGCGUCCAGCCCGGCUCCGGACCCGCAAGGGACCGGUUCUAGCUGGCGCCUCGUAAAAAGCGUAGCUUCAUAGACGGAUCAGGGCCGAUAAGGUCCUUGAAAUGGGUUAAUAACAGGUCAGUCAUGCCCUUAGAUGUUCCGGGCCGCACGCGCGUUACAAUGGAAGGUAAAAAAGGUGUUCUUCUUUUUACCUGAGCUUAAUCGGUACCGAAAGGUGGCCGGUAUUCCCUAAUACCUCCCUUGACUGGGAUAGUCACUUGUAAUUAUGUGUCUUGAACGAGGAAUUUUUAGUAGUCGGCAGGUCAUUAGCCUGCGACGA
RNAcentral lists this ribosomal RNA (449 nucleotides) under uncultured myxomycete. Its description in RNAcentral is "SSU rRNA". It matches the Rfam family "Eukaryotic small subunit ribosomal RNA", at positions 1230 to 1644 of the family's 1831-position model. Lineage: Eukaryota; Evosea; Eumycetozoa. The record is from RNAcentral.